RNAcentral lists this ribosomal RNA (526 nucleotides) under uncultured bacterium. RNAcentral describes it as "bacterial SSU rRNA". It matches the Rfam family "Bacterial small subunit ribosomal RNA", at positions 984 to 1509 of the family's 1533-position model. The record is from RNAcentral.
ACAUCCAGAGAACCUAGCAGAGAUUGCUUUGGUGCCUUCGGGAACUCUGAGACAGGUGCUGCAUGGCUGUCGUCAGCUCGUGUUGUGAAAUGUUGGGUUAAGUCCCCGNAACGAGCGCAACCCUUAUCCUUUGUUGCCAGCGGUUCGGCCGGGAACUCAAAGGAGACUGCCGGUGAUAAACCGGAGGAAGGUGGGGAUGACGUCAAGUCAUCAUGGCCCUUACGGCCAGGGCUACACACGUGCUACAAUGGCGCAUACAAGAGAAGCGACCUCGCGAGAGCAAGCGGACCUCAUAAAGUGCGUCGUAGUCCGGAUUGGAGUCUGCAACUCGACUCCAUGAAGUCGGAAUCGCUAGUAAUCGUAGAUCAGAAUGCUACGGUGAAUACGUUCCCGGGCCUUGUACACACCGCCCGUCACACCAUGGGAGUGGGUUGCAAAAGAAGUAGGUAGCUUAACCUUCGGGAGGGCGCUUACCACUUUGUGAUUCAUGACUGGGGUGAAGUCGUAACAAGGUAGGCGUAGCGAG